RNA transcript from Musa acuminata subsp. malaccensis (wild Malaysian banana), 1324 nucleotides. RefSeq lists it as uncharacterized. NCBI's taxonomy places the organism in Eukaryota, Viridiplantae, Streptophyta, Magnoliopsida, Zingiberales, Musaceae. The record is from RefSeq and is a predicted model, not a curated record.
CUAAAAUUUCCACUAUCGCAUGUACCUUCGUCCGCCUCACUCGUUCCCUCCUCUCGCCGAUCUCCUCUGCGGUGCACCUUCCCGGCAUUGAUCUCUCCCUCUUCUUUUCUGAAGACAAGUAUCUUCCUAUUUCUCUGAAGGAGAAGUGGAGGCGGCGUGCCCGGGAAGCCAGGGGACGCGCGACUAGCGAGCCCUAGAUUCUUCGUUGCUGCCGCUGCCAACAUCGCUGGCCUAGCCACCUCCUCCCUGCCGCUGACGCAAGCCGUCAUCUCCCUCCGCCGUUGUCGCAGGCCAAGCUGCCUCCACUCGCUGGAAAUAUUGAGAAUUUUCUGUGAGACAUCUGGGAUAUUCCUUGUCAGAAACCCUCCCUGUCUCUCAGUCUUAUUAGAGGCAGGAGUGCACGAUGCAGAUACAGGUAAAGUGCAACUGUGGUGAUGGGAAAUGCCCUGAGUGGGCGAUAAUUGAACUCCAGGGUGUUGUUGAAUCCCAGUUAGCUAUCAGUGAUCAGAUCAAUGGUCUUGAGAUUGGACAUCUCUGCUGCUCUUCGUUGUCUUCUUCCUCUCAGCUAAGCUACAUCUUCACUGUUGGUUACCAUGAACUCUCUGGCACAAAAGUACAGUUGAAGAAACCACUAUUGGUGUUAAAGAAAAAGGCAGCAGUAGAUGCUGCAGGGCCUGAAUUUCCUGCUUCCUCUGCCACAGAACUGGAAGUCAUUGGAAUCAUUCGCCAGAAAAUCCUGUUCAAGACUAGACCCAAAGCACUGAUAUCACGGGCACAGGCAAAGAAACUUUCAUAAUAAGGCAACCAUCCAAAGAUCAGGGUAAAUGCGCAAGAAUUAACUCGAAUCCGAGCCCCAACCCAUUGCAUGUUUUAUGAUUAUGAGGAUGAGAAGCUUUACGAUCGAUUCCACCUCCAAGUGGAACACCUCUUGCUUUUGGAUUUUGAUGCUCCUAUCAUUCAACUCCAUGUAGAUUUUGGACUCUGAAGCGACGACCAUAUGGGAAAGCAUUAAGAGGCCAAGAAGAGGGGUGUAUGCUUGUGUGCAGUCGCUCGCUUCUUAGUGCAUUUGCAUUUUUGUGAAUUCAUCUGUCGGCGUUAUGCAUAUUUGCAUUGCUAUAGGCACUUGCACUUGUCUCUUUCCUGUCGUAUUCUUUUCGCUUCGCGUAUGCACGAGGCUUAGUUCUGCAGUCGUCCAUCUAAAACAGCCUUCUUUGCAGAUCAAAGAAUGUUAUUUCUCGUUUUAUAUGAAACCAUCAACUCGUGUGUAAUCAAAAUCAUACGUGUGAUAAAGGAACUAAUAGUAAAGGAUUCCUUAUUCUAUUUA